Molecule: ribosomal RNA, 254 nt
Filed under: uncultured bacterium
Lineage: Bacteria
Description: partial 16S ribosomal RNA
Rfam family: Bacterial small subunit ribosomal RNA
Source: RNAcentral
UACGUAGGUGGCAAGCGUUGUCCGGAAUUAUUGGGCGUAAAGCGCGCGCAGGCGGUCCCUUAAGUCUGAUGUGAAAGCCCACGGCUCAACCGUGGAGGGUCAUUGGGAAACUGGGGGACUUGAGUACAGAAGAGGAAAGCGGAAUUCCACGUGUAGCGGUGAAAUGCGUAGAGAUGUGGAGGAACACCAGUGGCGAAGGCGGCUUUCUGGUCUGUAACUGACGCUGAGGCGCGAAAGCGUGGGGAGCAAACAGG